AAUAAUUUGUGGUUAAGUUAAUCUCGUCUUCAUUGUCAUCACAGUAUAGAGAUUCGCGUCUAAGAAAGGACAUGGCAAAGUUGGAGGGGAACUAAAGAGGAGAUUAAAAUGUAACAGAAAACUUAGCUACAAUGGGAAGGCAGAAACAGAACUAAGAAAAAUCUGGCUCAGGAGUUUGAAAAAAGAUCGAUAGAAGACUAGACAAUGGAAUCACUAUGUCAUAGAACCUUAGAAUCAUAGAAUUUUAAUGUUGAUAAGAAACUUGGAGAUCACUGCAACAGCUAUGUUUCUAUAGGGAGAACCAAACCAGAGGAGAGCAAGGUAUAGGGGAUCCUCUGAAAGGGUGUCAGAGACCUCCAGGUUUUUCUAGACCGUACUUUGAGAGCCACUGCUCUAGAUUCUCAUCAAGAUGGUCUUCAAGCAGCUCUUGGGAGGAAAACAUUGUGUAGACCAACCUCUAUAGCUGAGCGAGAAUAUGAAUUGAAUUUGGGGGCAAAGGACCUGCCCACAUCACCGUUGAAUCAAUUUAUUGGUCUCAUUACAAUGACCCUGCCCCACGGUUGUGACAUCUUAAAUAACGUUUAUUACAAAAGAGAGAGAAGACAAAAA
Molecule: long non-coding RNA, 609 nt
Organism: Antechinus flavipes (yellow-footed antechinus)
Lineage: Eukaryota; Metazoa; Chordata; Mammalia; Dasyuromorphia; Dasyuridae
Exons: 3
Source: RefSeq, a predicted model, not a curated record